Molecule: long non-coding RNA, 1968 nt
Organism: Mugil cephalus (flathead mullet)
Lineage: Eukaryota; Metazoa; Chordata; Actinopteri; Mugiliformes; Mugilidae
Exons: 2
Source: RefSeq, a predicted model, not a curated record
GAAAGCUGUUGUGAACGAUUUCAGACGGUCACUUCUUUUUUCAUGAGAAAUUUAGAGUCCCCUAUAAGACAUACGCUACUACAAAAUGGCGUAACCCCUAUAUAGGUCCCUGUAUAGGGGCCAGGGGGCGAUUUUGGACACAGGCAGAGUGUAGCUGAUGGACUAACGAGAGACAAGUGCGACCAAUGAGGGGAGGAGCACAGGGCAAGACAGGCCCUCGUGAGACAUUCGUCACCUGCACAUUUGAGCGUCAUCACUUCAGGCUUGUGGCCGACUGCUGCAGAUAUUCGGUGGAGAGAAGCACUAACAGAGAUUUUAUUGCGCCGUGUACGACAAGCUUCGACUACUGCUACUUACUCUACUUCGGGUUAGAAGUUUCCAUUUACAGGGCUCUCUUUAUUAGUUUCAGUGUCUGCUCUUUGUAUUGCACUAACAAAAGGUGAACGACUUUGUGUUGGAGGGCUCAGGAAAGAGAAAGAAAACCUGUGCAAGGCUUUCAGUACACAAGGUUUAAUCACUACACCUUCAUGGACUGGAUCCAAAGCCAGUUGUGUAUACUGUCAGUGGUUCACUAAUACCAUUAAACACAUAGAACAUAGCGUGGGACACAACAGACGAGUCAACAAACCGUUCACUGUACACAAGCACAUAGAUUUAUUUAUACAAAUAUAGUAUGUAUAACAAUUGCAUAUCAACAGUUUCUUGUCUUUUUUUUUUCUCUUUUUAAACCUUUACUGUAAGUACGGGACCAUCAGCUUCAAAAAAUGCAAGUCAAUUAAGAAAGAGUACCUGUGAUUUAAAGAUAGAAAAAGGGGGGUAGCGAGAUGUGUGUGAGUGGAUGUCAUUUCAAAUCUGACAAAUAAGACCUCACUGCUAACGGGUUAUUUGGGCGCAUAAUCUGGAUAGAGGAGGCUUUAGCUCUGCUGUUAGAUGUAUUGUGAUACCAGAUAAGGUUGCAAAUUAAAUAAAUAUGUGUCGAUUUUAAAGAAAAAAAUAAUCAGUUGUUAACACAUAGUGUGUACUUGAGAGGGUAAAACACCUUCUGGCAUUCGGAUUUUUAACUAGUUUGGGAGAAAUCCAAAAAGAAAAGCAGUGAAGACGAGGUAAAGCCUGCAAAAGUCAGAAAAUGGAAAACAAACAGUCAACAUGAAACACAAUCAAUGAGGUGAGGAGCAGAAAACAAGAAGAAGAAGAAGGAGUGCUUAGCACCAAAGAUGGAGGGAAAAAAAAGCAAACACAGACUGGCAGAUUACCACUUUAACUCAGAUAGUUCAGGUACUCGGAUGAAGACAGAUUUUUCUUACAGAUACGGAAGGGAAAGGAAGGCCAAACAUUCCACGCAGUCUCUCACAAUGAUUGUCAAAAUGAAGGAGACGUUUCCACACGAGCUAGAAUCACCAUCUGUUGUAUAAUAAUAAUAAUAAUAAUAUAUUUUUUUUCAAUUUAACAGUAAUCUUCUACAUAAUAUUUAAAAGGAACGAUAGAACUUUAUGUUAAAUCUCUCAUCUCGUAAACUAUAAAAUAGCCGGGAAAAUAAAUCCAUUCAGUUCUACUCAAAUGGAAACUGACGACAUUCUGUUAAUCUGUCGGAAAACAGGACGCAGUUAACAUUUCAGAGAGGAUUGAUCUGUGUAAGAUACACUGUAUAUCUAUAUCUAUAUAUACCAUCUAGGUAAAUUUCACUUGGGAGUAGCUUAUAAAGUCUUUUAUUGAUCGCCGUUAUUGCACGUUAAUUGUUGAUGCCGCCUGUAAAUCGAUAAUCUCUUCAAAUGGCACAGAGAUUUGGAGUCAGAAGCUGCCUCGCAGUGCAUAAGACCCAGGUUUUUACUCUACAGCGGCUUAUAUUCGCACAUAAACUCCCGCGUUUGUGAAUUUCAGUGGCACGAUGUAAAAACCGAAGAGUGUGUGUGUUUGUGUGUGUUAUUGCUAAACCUACAAGAUACAAAAACUUUUUUUUUUUUCUUGCUA